UGUAUAUAAUUGGCCAUAUCUUUGCAGUCUGAUAAAAAAGUCAUUUGCUAACAUUUUUAUUAGUUGUGUGCAAUGCAUGUCUUCGGUAACAGCUUCAUGGUGAGCAUCGUGUUCAUUUAGGUCUUUAAAAAAAAUGUUUUUCAAUAAUAAUUUUAUUAACUGCAUAAAUCAUUUUCAGUUAAAGAUUUCGCUCCACAUUCAUUUUUGGUUUUUUAAAAUUGCCAUUGCUGACAUAAAUUUUGAAAACGCUCUCGUAUACUAUUAUAGUUUGUAUAACACCAUUUUUUGGAGCAAUAAGCACAUUCCUAUUUUUUAUGUUUAUCAAUGAAAGAACUGAUGCCCUAUAAGAAUAUUCCACAAAAUUGUUUUGUGGGAGUUUGCACACACAGAACAUGUUAUCUUAUAAUAAUCUUCUUACAAUAAAUCCAGAGCUAUUUAAAAAUUACAAUCCUUAAGUCGCUCUAAAUCACAUAACACAUUUCUAGUUAAUUUUAGCAAAUGACUUGGGUCAGGGAUUACAUACAAGUAGUGAUUAUAGCCUUCAAAAGUAAAUUGUCCAUUAAUUUUUUCUAGUCUUUUCCGAAAUGUACAUCCUAGUGAUGCAACAGAAUUAAAGUUAACACUUACACCAUCAAAUGUAAUUUUACUACAUUAAUUUUUUUAUCAGAAGAAAUUGUUAAUGCUUUUUUAAUAAGACAUGAAAGGUUUUCAGUUGUUAUUUUACUACACAGCAUAAGGCCAAUAGGUGUUUUCCAAUGACCUCGUAAUCCUACCAGCAUAAAUACCAAUGGUUCUGUAGCUGGUGUAUCUGGUUCAAUUGCGACAAUAUCUUUUCCAUAAUCUGUAAAGCCUAUGAAUCGACCUGCCUUUUUAUCGCUUAGAACUGAUGUUUUGAUUACCAUUGCAUCUAUAAUUAAUGCACAAUCUUUAUAAUUAAUAUCAGCCACUGCUUUUAUAUUAAUAUAACUUAAAACAUCUUCAAAGAAAAACAGUUCUACAAUCUACAAAAGAAGUACAGUUGGCUAAAGAGCUUGAAGCAGGUAAAUGGAGUAUAGGCCGUAGAAAAUUUUAUGCUUUAGGUGAGUAAAAAUGCAGAGUUAUAGCAAAUUUUUUAAUUUCAUCUGUAUACCUAAGCCCUUUAGGAAAUGAUGUAUUGUUUUUAAACUGAUUUUUUAUAAUAUCAAAAGUCAAUCCACUAAAGUUUUCACAAAAAGUAUUACCAAUAUUUUUUGUGAAAAUAUAAAUUGUGUUAAUAUUAGCAUUACUGUUAUCACUUAUAUCCGAAUAGAAAUGGAUGUAAUGGUGACUGCCUGUUUCUGAAACUUUUUAAAUGAGUCUCUUUUUAUUUGUUUGUGGCGAUAUAGAACUAAACUUUCUUUUGACUUUUGGUUUUGAAUCAAUAGUAAUAGAUGGCAUAGAAAAAGGUUUUAAUUGCGGUUUGUUAUUAAAAUCAGGUAUAUUGUAAUCUGAAGGUAAAAAGUGAUCACUACAAAUGCAGCUGUGCUCAGUAGGAAUGUUUCACAAUUUAUAGCAACAAUCCACUUUUUACAGAGUUCGCUAUUACUAAUUGGAAAUUUAUGAAAUACUCUGUUGUUGUUUUUCAUUGCUCUCUUUGUGCAACCUGCUGCUGCACAAGAAUUAACCAUGAUUUCUAAUUUUUGAAUAUUAAAUAUUAUUUGAUCCAAAAAAUCGUGAUUUACUAUUUAUUUUUUCCCCCCCAUAAUGGCUGAUUUUUGCUUCAAAAAAUACGGAAGUUAGACAUCUAGUUAUUUUUAAUAUAUCAUUGAUUAAUUCUGAGAAUUUUUAGAAACAUGAAACCCAAGGGUGUUUAUUAAACCUCCUUGGUGAAACCACCUAAGUCUUACUUUAACUCAACAUACAACACCAAUAUUUGCAUUAAAAUUUUGAAUAACUUUAUAAAAAUAAAAUCACAUAAAAGUUGUCAUGAAAAGUCACGAAAUUAAAGGGUGGAAUUGCGGCAAUUGCAAUGUUUCAACUCAAUGUUUGUAGAUUCGUUGCAUUUUAUUUUAAUUUAAUAUUAUACUAUUGCUUUAUUAUUUAGUUUAAAUAAUAAACAUUAGUAUAUUAUUUAAACGAAGUUGAAAUAAAAUGCAACAAUUCUACAAACAUAACAUUGUAUUACUAUGUUCAAGGGCUGACUGUUAAUUUAAAAAAGGAUUUUAUUUGUGGUGUUAUUAAAGGCCAUGUAUGAGAAGCCAUGAAACUAUAAAUCAAUGAAAUCAAAGUAUGCAACUAUCAUAAACAUCAAAUACAUAAAACUAUGCUUAAAUUAUUACUACCAUAACUAAAAACCAUGUAUAUCAACUCAGGUUAUCCAAGUUGUCUUUUCCAUGACAUUGCGAUAUUAGGGUUUUAUGGUUCACCAUAGGUUUUAAAUGAAAGAUUAGAUUUGUUUCAAUGGUUAUUUAAAAAGUCAUUCCAAGAUUUAAAGAAAUUGUAGAAGGUGCCCCAAGAAGACCUAAUGGUCUUUUCACAGAACACCACAGAAGAACAUUUACUAGAGAGUUCAUACAUCCUUCCUUACCGAUGCGCAAAAAAUGCCCCAGCAUUAAAAAAGUAUGGUUAAUGAUGUUAUAAAAUGAGUUAAGGAAUGUUACAAAUGACAAAGCAUUGAAAAAAUAUGUUUUCUUCGUUUAACGUCAACCAUUUAAUAACCUCAGCUUAUCACCCCUAAACGAAUAGGCAGGAUAAAAGAACUAAUCGAACUGUUAAGAGAACUCUUUCAAAAUUAUGUAAUGAAGCCCAAGAUAACUGGGAUGAGUUAUUAGAACUAGUUUUUUUCGGUCUACAUUCAUGUGUACAAAAAUUGACUAAGUUUACACCAUUUUUUUUAAUGUUCGGCAGAGAAGCCCAAUUAUUUUCAGUUUUACCAUUAAAUUCGAAUAGUUUAAAUCUUAUUGUUGAUACUGUUGAAUUUAAAGCAGAAAAUUGCAAAUUCAAGAGAGAAUAGAUUCAUGCAAUAAAAUUAACGCUGUAGUAGAUAUUAAUAAUUCUAUUGCUCAAACAGAAAUGAAAAAAUAUUAUGCCUCUAAACAGGUAAAAGUAUGUGAAUCAUUUCAUUUAAAACAGGUGACAAAAGUUUUAAUAAAAAAUUACAGAAAAAUUGGUUGUAAAGGAAGUCGAAUGGAACAUGAUUGGCUUGAACCUGCUGAAAUUACAGGUUUUAAACAAAAGGUGCUAUUGUAAAUCGUAAUUAAAGUAAAUAAAGAAAGCUGUUGCUUUAUGUAACAUGAAACCUUGUAUAGAUUAAAUAAUACUUUAUCAGAAGCAGUAACAUUAAAAGAACAUGAUUAUUGUCUUCCAAUAAGUAUUAAAAAGACUAAAAUUAAUGAGAAAAUAAGAAAAGUUACCAAACCUAGAAAGAGAUGUGCAUUAGGCUCUAAAUGUAAUGUUAAAGAUAAAAAAAUCAAACUAAGUAAAGUGGAAAACUUAUCAAUUAAUACAUAUCCUGUAGUUUCUAUUGACAAUCACUUUUUUUUAAACUUAUCAACACAGUCUAUUAAACUAGGCCUUGAUAUUUUAAAAAAUCCGUGUGGCUGGUUAAAUAAUAUUUUGAUAGAUAAUGCCCAAAGCUUCCUUUCAUUUUAGUUUCCUUGUAUUGCCAGGUUUCAAAGUUCAUGUAUUUUUGAUAAAAAUACUUCAGGUGGUUAUAUUCUUUCAGGAAAAUUUGUUCAAAUACUUUAUGUCAAUAAUUCACAUUGGGUACUAAUAAGUAAUGUGUCUUUUUCUACUAAUUUAAACUCUGAUCAAUAUUUUGAUUCUCUUUCAAAGUUUAAAUGAAGAUAUUCCAUUAUUUGUAGACCAAGUUGCUCGAUCAUUAUUAAUUUAUGAAGAUGUUAAUUCAAUAACCUUUAAAGCUAUGAAUUGCCAGACACAAAAUAACGGAAAUGAUUGUGGUUUUUAUCCAUUGCAAAUGCUACUGCUCUAUGUUAUGGAAUUGAUCCAAGUGUAGUUGUCUGGGAAAAUAGCAGUAUGAGACAGCAGUACCUAAAAAAUGUUUUGAGAAAGGCAAACUCGAGAUGUUUCCUUAUAUAACAUUUUUAAAUGGGAUUAAAAUUUGUUCUUCAUCCUUUCUAUGUGAUGGUAACUGUCAUUGUGUUUUGGGAUAAUUUUAAGGCAGGAUAUAUUAUUAUAUUUAUGAUUUUUUAAACGACCAUUGCAUAUGUAUGAUACUGUAAAAUUUUUGAAAUAAAACAAUUUAUAAAUAAA
Non-coding RNA from Hydra vulgaris (swiftwater hydra), 4230 nucleotides. NCBI's taxonomy places the organism in Eukaryota, Metazoa, Cnidaria, Hydrozoa, Anthoathecata, Hydridae. The record is from RefSeq and is a predicted model, not a curated record.